AGUCGAACGAAAACAAAAAAAUAAGUAAUUAUUUUUUUGUUUUAGUGGCGGACGGGUGAGUAACGCGUAAGGAAUCUACCUUUAGGCAGGGGGAAAACAACUGGAAACGGUUGCUAACACCCCAUAUGCUGAGGAGUAAAAUACAUUGUGCCUAGAGAUGAGCUUGCGUCUGAUUAGUUAGUUGGUAAGGUAAUUGCUUCCCAAGACUAUGAUCAGUAGCUGGUCUGAGAGGAUGAUCAGCCACACUGGGACUGAGACACGGCCCAGACUCCUACGGGAGGCAGCAGUGAGGAAUUUUCCGCAAUGGGCGAAAGCCUGACGGAGCAAUGCCGCGUGGAGGAUGAAAGCCUAUGGGUUGUAAACUCCUUUUCUCAGAGAAGAAAUUUUGACGGUAUCUGAGGAAUAAGCAUCGGCUAACUCCGUGCCAGCAGCCGCGGUAAUACGGGGGAUGCAAGUGUUAUCCGGAAUAAUUGGGCGUAAAGCGUCUGUAGGUGGUUGACCAAGUCUGUUGUUAAAAAUCAGGGCUUAA
RNAcentral lists this ribosomal RNA (529 nucleotides) under uncultured cyanobacterium. RNAcentral describes it as "bacterial SSU rRNA". It matches the Rfam family "Bacterial small subunit ribosomal RNA", at positions 60 to 612 of the family's 1533-position model. Lineage: Bacteria; Bacillati; Cyanobacteriota. The record is from RNAcentral.